RNAcentral lists this long non-coding RNA (2550 nucleotides) under Nicotiana tabacum (common tobacco). RNAcentral describes it as "long non-coding RNA (NTAB_LNC012265)". Lineage: Eukaryota; Viridiplantae; Streptophyta; Magnoliopsida; Solanales; Solanaceae. The record is from RNAcentral.
AACCAUAUAUUAUUCUUUUGUUUGUUUCCCGUCUCUUCAGUUUCUCAAAGAUAUACUCCAAUUCAUUUUGUUCUUGAUGCUCUUUAAAUCUGAUAUGAAACUUGGGGUUAGAUAGUAAGGCAUGAGGGAGAAGAGUGCAAGUAAGGAAGGAGAGACUAUUUAAAGCUCUUCAUCGGAAACAAAAGUAAACUUUCUCUCUUUCCUUUCUUUCUGUCUCAAGUGUUUGCUUUCCUCUAUAUUUAAUCAGGACUAUGCAACAGGCUUAUUUGGGUUUCUGAUUGUGGAAUGCAUGUAUCUCUGUUGAUUAUGGUUGGAAUCUUUUGGUUGACUGUGUUAGCCAAUUUCAUCUAAAACAACAUGUCAGUAUAGUUUAAAUAUCCAAAUUCUAAUUUCAAAAUUCAAUGUAGUUCCAUAAUCUUCAGAGAAUAGAGAAUGGAUUCUGUACUUAGAUUUGGUGGCGAUUUCCAAAUGUAGAAGGGCUUGCCUGAAAAUGUUGAAGAAGUGUAUCAGUGAGAAGUUUAGCAAAAGAUCCAGGAGAGUAACGUUUGCUAGAGUUAUAAAAUUUAGGCUUAAGAUAGUUGUUGGUGCAGCCAUUGCUGCCUAUGGAGACGAAAAAUAGCAACCUUGAUAGGUCACUUGAGAACUCAUUUUGCGGAAAAAAAUCAAUUCGCUCAGAUAGAUGCACGCACUUCCCCUGCAAACACCAAUUAAAAGCUAGCCCAUGGUUAAUAUAAUGGCUAUAAUUCAAAUUGGCAUUUUGUGUGUCUACUAUAGCAAGUAAGACCCAAAAGUACUUCGUCAAAGUUUCUAAUUCUAUAUUGACUGGCACUCUUCCAGUCACGACUAGAAGACAAUUUACAUGUAAUCGGUAACGAAAAAUAAAUAAUUAAUCUAAAGAAUAAGGGUUGCUUGUUAAAAAUACGUUACCUUCUUUGUCAAAAGUAUAAUUUGUAUGAGUGUAAGUUAUAUGCUUUGACAAUGUAUAAUUCUUGAUAGCAUACAAUUAUAAAUACAUAUAUGUAUUUAUUACCAUCAGAAUAGUAUGUUAACUGUUGGUAUUUAAUGUAUGAACGAUUAGGUGCAAAGCCAACAUACUUACAGCAGCUACUAGAGGAUAAAAUAUAAUUUUGUUUACCCUAUUAUGAAGUAAAUAUGCCAAAAAUAUACUUAUGAAUAGUAUCAUUUACCCGACAGGAUCAACAAGAGAGUAAUUACCACAAAGCGAAGUUUGUAUAGAACAAUUUAUUAGGAGCGAUAACGAUUAUAUUUUUGCUGGAGAAGUUGGAGACUUAUGUGCAUUGAUAUAAACUUUCUUUCACUUAAAAUGUUAUAUUUAUUAAAAUUUUAAUUAUUUAUAAGCAGGAUUAGUAGAAUAGUCUUACUGAAUGUUCACUUUUGUAACCAUGGAUUUUUGUCCUAAGUUGUUAUAUGCUAGGAACAUUAGCAACAUAGAUUCACAAAAUGAAUUUUCUGAUCCAUAUUCUUGUGUAAUAUUCUCAAAACUUUGCUGCAUUUUUGUCUUUUGAUGGGAAUGACUGGCAUAUGAAUAUGAUGCACACAUUAGACGCAUCAAAUUUUGGAGUCAAAAUAAUAGUCACUGUACUUUCCAAUUAAAAAAUUUGUACGGGGAUACUAUCUGAAAGAGUUCAUGCUGAGUCCAACUCAUAAGAUUCAGAUAUAAGUGUUUUGCUGAGUCUAAGUCAUAAGGUUCAUUAGGAUAUAAGUGUUUCCGUAUCUCCGCAUAUUUUCCUUUUCUUAGAGAUGGGGAAUCAGAAUUCGAAGUAAGAGAAACAACUUUUAUUUAUUGUGCCUGGAUACACCUUUUAAUGUACAGUCUUACACAAUGAUAAACCAUAACUGGUAUUGCAGGUGUCACGCACCUUGUGCUGAAUAUAUAAUGUUUGUCCUUGGAUAUACCAUUGAUAUACAGUCGUACAACGAUCACAUGCCUAUAAUAUGUCUGAGAAGAUUUACAACGAACAGGGUUCAGUCUUCCACUUUUGAAUAAUCAAAGAGCGAGCUUGCAACAAUGUAAGUCAAUCUAAAAAAGAUACUUCGAUUGAAUGUUAUUUAUUGGUUUGAUCACCACUCGCCAGUGGAAGGUCUUUUGCUACUAUUUUGGGUUGCGACUGGAUCCACUUUCUGCUGAUGUUUCUAGAUGCAGUUGAAGCCACUUAUAUUGCUGCUUCUUGGAUGUUACUACAAACACCUUUAAAGUUGUUCUAGAUGCGGUUGGAACUACUUUUGAUGCUCUUUUUCUAGAUGGUGCUGCAGUUAUUUUUUUGUUGUUGUACUAUUAGGUUAGUCCAGUUGGUUACACAUCAAACUCUUCAGUACUUUUAACUUCUAAGAUCCAGGUCCAUCCAUUUUUGUUUCCUUCUGUAUAUGCUCUGUGUUCUUUGGAUUUAGUUUCGAGCAAUCUUAGUAAAGAUACUUAGUAUUAAAAUCAAUCCAUAAUACCCCUUGAAAACAACUAUCGCAACUAGGGGUUGAAAGGGGUAUGCUAUGCAGCUCUUUUGUGGGUCUGCCAUUUUCCUGUCACUAUAUCUC